UUUACAGUAUAAAUCUUUUUUUAUUUAAAAUUUUAAUUUGUAUUUUUAGUAAAAAUACUAAAAUAAAAAAAAGGGACGAUAAGACCCUGAAAGCUUAAAAUGAUAACUAUAAAAAUUUUUAUUUAAAAUUAUAGUGUUGUUAUUAGCUGGGGUAGUUUUUAUACAAAAACUAUAAUUAAUUAAUACAUUGUUUUUAGGGUCCUUUAUAUAAGGAUAGUUAGAAAAAGUUACUUCAGGGAUAACAGCAUAAUAAUUUUGUAGAGUUCUUAUCGAUAAAAUUGAGUGUGACCUCGA
This 294-nucleotide ribosomal RNA is filed under the name Crangonyx hobbsi. RNAcentral's name for it is "partial large subunit ribosomal RNA". Lineage: Eukaryota; Metazoa; Arthropoda; Malacostraca; Amphipoda; Crangonyctidae. The record is from RNAcentral.